This 483-nucleotide ribosomal RNA is filed under the name uncultured bacterium. Its description in RNAcentral is "partial 16S ribosomal RNA". It matches the Rfam family "Bacterial small subunit ribosomal RNA", at positions 30 to 506 of the family's 1533-position model. The record is from RNAcentral.
AUUGAACGCUGGCGGCAGGCCUAACACAUGCAAGUCGAGCGGAUGAAGGGAGCUUGCUCCUGGAUUCAGCGGCGGACGGGUGAGUAAUGCCUAGGAAUCUGCCUGGUAGUGGGGGAUAACGUCCGGAAACGGGCGCUAAUACCGCAUACGUCCUGAGGGAGAAAGUGGGGGAUCUUCGGACCUCACGCUAUCAGAUGAGCCUAGGUCGGAUUAGCUAGUUGGUGGGGUAAAGGCCUACCAAGGCGACGAUCCGUAACUGGUCUGAGAGGAUGAUCAGUCACACGGAAACUGGGAAACGGUCCAGCCUCCUACGGGGGGCGGCAGUGGGGAAAUUGGGAAAAUGGGCGAAAGCCUGAUCCAGCCAUGCCGCGUGUGGAAAGAAGGUCUUCGGAUUGUAAAGCACUUUAAGUUGGGAGGAAGGGCAGUAAGUUAAAACCUUGCUGUUUUGACUUUCCCAACAAAAUAAGCACCGGCUAACUUCGU